Molecule: RNA transcript, 897 nt
Organism: Nannospalax galili (Upper Galilee mountains blind mole rat)
Lineage: Eukaryota; Metazoa; Chordata; Mammalia; Rodentia; Spalacidae
Gene name: heme oxygenase 1 pseudogene
Exons: 1
Source: RefSeq, a predicted model, not a curated record
AGCCAGCCUGAGCUAGCCCAGCGCGGCAAUGGAGCGCCCACAGCCCACAAGCAUGUCCCAGGACUUGUCUGAGUCCUUGAAGGAAGCCACCAAGGAGGUGCAUACCCAGGCAGAGAAUGCUGAGUUCAUGAGGAAAUUUCAGAAGGACCAGGUGACCCCGAAAGGCUUUAAGCUGGUGAUGGCCUCCUUGUAUCAUGUCUACGUGGCCCUGGAGAAGGAGACUGAGCAGAACAAGCAGAACCCAGUCUACGCCCCCCUCUACUUCCCUGAGGAGCUGCACCGCAAGGCUGCCCUGGAGCAGGACAUGGCUUUCUGGUACUGCCCGGCUGGCAGAAGACCAUCCCCUACAGUUCAGCCACACAGCAUUACACGAGGCGCCUCCAUGAGGUGGGGCACAAACAUCCUGAGCUGCUGGUGGCCCAUGUGUACACCCACUACCUGGGGAGACCUCUCCGGGGCCAGGUCCUGAAGAAGAUUGCACAGAAGGCCCUGAACCUGCCCAGCUCCAGUGAGGCCCUGGCCUUCUUCACCUUCCCCAACAUCAAAAGCCCCACCAAGUUCAAGCAGCUCUACUGUGCACACAUGAACACUCUGGAAAUGACACCGGAGGUCAAGCACAAGGUGAUAGAGAAGGCUAAGACCGUGUUUCUUCUCAACACUGAGCUGUUUGAGGAGCUGAAAAGGCUGCUGACAAAGGAGCACCAGGAUCAGAGCCAUUCACAGAAGGAGGGCCUUCACCAGCGGGGCCGACAGCAGGGUGCAAGACCCCACCCUGCAGAGACACCCAGAGGGAAACUCCAGCUCAGUGCUAACCUGUACCAAGCACCGCUCCUCCGAUGGGUCCUCACCCUCAGCUUUCUGGUGGCAACAGUGGCUGUGGGGAUUUAUGCUAUGUAA